This 630-nucleotide ribosomal RNA is filed under the name uncultured soil bacterium. RNAcentral describes it as "bacterial SSU rRNA". It matches the Rfam family "Bacterial small subunit ribosomal RNA", at positions 34 to 707 of the family's 1533-position model. The record is from RNAcentral.
CGCUGGCGGCAGGCCUAACACAUGCAAGUCAGAGCGGCCGUAGCAAUACGGCAGCGGCASACGGGAGAGUAACACGUGGGAACGCGCCCUUCGGUCCGGGAUAACCCAGGGAAACUUGGGCUAAUACCGGAUACGCCCUUACGGGGAAAGAUUUAUUGCCGAAGGAACGGCCCGCGUCCGAUUAGCUAGUUGGUGAGGUAAUGGCUCACCAAGGCGACGAUCGGUAGCUGGUCUGAGAGGAUGACCAGCCUCACUGGGACUGAGACACGGCCCAGACUCCUACGGGAGGCAGCAGUGGGGAAUAUUGGACAAUGGGCGCAAGCCUGAUCCAGCCAUGCCGCGUGGGUGAUGAAGGCCCUAGGGUUGUAAAGCCCUUUCAGCGGGGAAGAUAAUGACGGUACCCGCAGAAGAAGCCCCGGCUAACUUCGUGCCAGCAGCCGCGGUAAUACGAAGGGGGCUAGCGUUGCUCGGAAUUACUGGGCGUAAAGCGCACGUAGGCGGCUUUCUAAGUCGGGGGUGAAAUCCUGGAGCUCAACUCCAGAACUGCCUUCGAUACUGGAAAGCUCGAGUCCGGGAGAGGUGAGUGGAACUGCGAGUGUAGAGGUGAAAUUCGUAGAUAUUCGCAAGAAC